Molecule: ribosomal RNA, 815 nt
Filed under: Staphylococcus pseudintermedius
Lineage: Bacteria; Bacillati; Bacillota; Bacilli; Caryophanales; Staphylococcaceae
Description: partial 23S ribosomal RNA
Rfam family: Bacterial large subunit ribosomal RNA
Source: RNAcentral
CCUGAGUACGACGGAGCACGUGAAAUUCCGUCGGAAUCUGGGAGGACCAUCUCCUAAGGCUAAAUACUCUCUAGUGACCGAUAGUGAACCAGUACCGUGAGGGAAAGGUGAAAAGUACCCCGGAAGGGGAGUGAAAGAGAACUUGAAACCGUGUGCUUACAAGUAGUCAGAGCCCGUUAAUGGGUGAUGGCGUGCCUUUUGUAGAAUGAACCGGCGAGUUACGAUCUGAUGCAAGGUUAAGCAGAAAAUGUGGAGCCGUAGCGAAAGCGAGUCUGAAUAGGGCGAAUGAGUAUUUGGUCGUAGACCCGAAACCAGGUGAUCUACCCUUGGUCAGGUUGAAGUUCAGGUAACACUGAAUGGAGGACCGAACCGACUUACGUUGAAAAGUGAGCGGAUGAACUGAGGGUAGCGGAGAAAUUCCAAUCGAACUUGGAGAUAGCUGGUUCUCUCCGAAAUAGCUUUAGGGCUAGCCUCAAGUGAUGAUUAUUGGAGGUAGAGCACUGUUUGGACGAGGGGCCCCUCUCGGGUUACCGAAUUCAGACAAACUCCGAAUGCCAAAUAAUUUAACUUGGGAGUCAGAAUGUGGGUGAUAAGGUCCAUAUUCGAAAGGGAAACAGCCCAGACCACCAGCUAAGGUCCCAAAAUAUAUGUUAAGUGGAAAAGGAUGUGGCGUUGCCCAGACAACUAGGAUGUUGGCUUAGAAGCAGCCAUCAUUUAAAGAGUGCGUAAUAGCUCACUAGUCGAGUGACACUGCGCCGAAAAUGUACCGGGGCUAAACAUAUUACCGAAGCUGUGGAUUGUCCUUUGGACAAUGG